GGUGAACGCUGGCGGCAUGCCUAAUACAUGCAAGUCGAACGGAAGCACUUGUGCUUUAGUGGCGAACGGGUGAGUAACACGUGAGGAACCUACCCUUAAGACGAGGAUAACUACUGGAAACGGUAGCUAGUACUGGAUAGCAUCAAGAGACGCAUGUCUUUUGAUCUAAAGAUCCCUUUAAAGGAUCGCUUAAGGAUGGCCUUGCGCCGCAUUAGCUAGUUGGUAGGGUAACGGCCUACCAAGGCGACGAUGCGUAGCUGUGCUGAGAGGCAGAACAGCCACACUGGGACUGAGACACGGCCCAG
RNAcentral lists this ribosomal RNA (305 nucleotides) under uncultured bacterium. RNAcentral describes it as "bacterial SSU rRNA". It matches the Rfam family "Bacterial small subunit ribosomal RNA", at positions 28 to 334 of the family's 1533-position model. The record is from RNAcentral.